GUUUCGAUUUCAUAUUUGUAUCAAAGACUGAUUUUAAUCAAAUAAAAUCGAAAUUUAAUAUAUUGGUAUCGUAAUUUGGACUGGAUAUAAGGAUUAUUUAUAUUGAUUUUAAAUCUGGAAUAUUUUUCAUCUGAAUUGAUUUCAAUAUAUAUGCUCCUGACAUUUAAAUCUAUUUGUUAAAACAUGUAUGUGUAAUUAUGGCGUCCGGUGGAAAUAAUGCAAAGGCGAUUAUAUUUUAUGACAGUGAAGGCGCAAACGAAGCGUCUAAAACAGAGGCAGACAAAUUGAGGUUCUUCAUUGAAAAGAAUGGUGGAUACACAUGUCAAACUGACCAUGCAAUAAGAAUACCUGGAACCGAAGUUAUGAAUAACAUUCACAAUUCAAUUAAUCGUUAUGACAGAAUAAUAAUUCUUAUAACAGAUCAAUCUGCUUCAAAAGGAUGGUUCACAUUUGCAGUUUUGUCUGCCUUAGAAAACAUAAUUGUGGAAAAUUACAUGAGACUUUUGGUCGCAUACAAAGGAAAUCGACGUGAAGAUGUUGGGUUUCUGAAACCGGAUUGCUGUCGUUGACGCCCAAGACGUUUGUCGACCUCACUGAAUGGCAGGGAUAUGAAAGGCUUCUCAAACAACUGAAAACUCCAGUGUGUUUUGACGAAGAAUUACCAGCGGGAAACUUGCAUCUUGGCUUGGUUCAUUCCCACAUAUCCGGUUACAUGUGCUAUGUUGCUGAAGAGUUUGCGAACAACAAGAAUUGGUUGGAGAAAUGCAAUGGUUACAGAAAAGAACAUAUACUACUGAUUGGAAAAUUUCUGCUGGCUGUACCAAAAUCCUGCACUGUCCCACGGCAGCUUCCGUCAAAUUCAGCAGCAGGCAUUGUUAUUUCGAAUGUGGAUACAUUUGAGUUUAAGAGAAUACACGCGGGUAAAAACAGAUAUUAUGUUGUUACCAUCAACUAGAUAAAGCACGCGAACAACGAGUUGUACGUUUGUGCCCAGGUAACAACUACGAUAACUGCAAUAUCACAUCUUGCAAAGCAGCACCUUGGGAAAAUAAAUGUCGCUCUCGAGCACCAGCGUUUCUGUCAAUCAUACCAGCAGAUAAUCGAUGCGAAAGGAUGGAGUGACUUCUUGGAAAUCGUUCCAUGUGAAGGCAGCGACGGCAAACACUACCAAGAAGACUGGGGCAGAAACUUCUCUAAUAAGCUGGAGUUUUGUCCGAUGUUAAAAGGAUGAGUGUUUACAUAUCAUGUUUUGAUAUUGACGGAGAUUCUUAAGAAGAGAUCGAAAAAGAGCUAAAAAAACAUCAUAUGAACAUCAUACGACAUGAAAACACACCAGGAAGAUUCCUGCUCUCAGAUGGUGACAAUCGAGAAGGAUGGAUAAUAGUUAUUGUAUCGAAAGAAUCACUGAAAAGCGAACUGCUUUCUUUUAAUCUCAUGACAUGCCUGACUGCCGAUGUUGAUGACGGCAGAUUUAGGGUCAUGCUUGUAUUGCGCAGCGGUGUGAAUAUUUCAGAAGUACCAAGAUGUAUUCGUUGGGUAACAGUAUUCAGCGAAGAUGAGAAAUCAUACAAAAACUGGAUUGUAAAAACAGUUUCAGGAGAACCAGUAGAUAUUGGCAGGGCACUUCCAGCAGGGGAUGUUAUUCCAGGCUUAUGUUGGGCCUAUGUCUUGAACUACCUGAAGAUUGUGCUGACGACCAGCAGUAUUUAUAAAACGAUACAAGACUAUUUGACUGAAAAGAAGUUCAACUGUGACUGCACCGUAAACUAAUUGUGGUGUGGAUCAAGUCCUGUGAUAUGGAGAACACCAUAGACGUGGUUGCAAACAAAAUUGGUGGGCGACGCAAAAUAACUAACAGCGACCAGAUACAUGUUACAACUAAUAGCAUUAGUGGACAGAUUGGCAGACCAUUUGCUUUCAAUAUGUUCAGAUACAACGACGAGUCAAAUCCCGUAAAUCAAUAUGGGUAUGCAUGAGGUUACCGUGAAGCAGAAUGUUGCAGUUAUGUCAUUAUGAGAUGCUUCCUUGCUGAAUAUUGCAACCCGAUGCAAUGCGUCCAAACAAUUGAGAAAGGAUACGCUGGCAUCAGUGCAACCACAAAACAGGGAAUGGGAGAGUCGUUCAAGGAAAAGUUCAAAGAGAUCAUGUCUCGCAGAAAAAUGAUGAAACUCUUCUCGAACUUCAAAGUGUCAUUUAUCCUCUUUGAUGAUACAAAUCCACGAAAUCGUCUUAUGGACCUGUUGGAACAAGAGAUUUUUGAGCAGGAAUGCGAUGUUAUCACCAGAAACUAGUAGACACUGUACAUGGAACUGAAGAAGACCAGACUGUUACUCAGGAUCAACAUAAGAAAUUCAUCUGUGCAACUAAAUGACCAAAGACUGGCCUAUAUAAAUUUUCAUAUUCUUUUGCUUAUAAACACAUUUAUUAUAGCAAGUAUAUCAUGUUCUUUUGGAGCCACAUCGUCAUUUUACAUUUGCAAGGUAUGACUCUAUAAAUGCAUUUCAAUUUUAAUAAUACCAUUAUUUUUAGCUCACCUGAGCACAACGUGCUCAUGGUGAGCUUUUAUGAUCGCCUUUUGUCCGUCGUGCGUCGUCCAGUGUGCGUUCUGCGGCGUCAACGUUUGCCUUGUUGACUCUCUAGAGGCUACAUUUAUUGUCCAAUCUUCAUGAAAUUUGGUCAGAAGAUUUGUAUCAAUGAUAUCUUGGAUGAGUUCGCAAAUGGUCACGUUUGCUUGAAAAAACAUGGCUGCCAAGGGGCGGGGCUUUUUUCCUUAGAUGGCUAUAUAUGGCUAUAAUAAAAUCAUGUUAACACUCUUGAGGCCACAUUUAUUGUCUGAUCUUUAUGAAACUUGGUCAGAAGAUUCAUCCCAAUAAUAUCUUGGAUGAGUACGAAAAUGAUGCCGGUUUGUUGAAAAACAUGGCUGCCAGGGGACGGAGCAUUUUUCCUUAUAUGGCUAUAGUAAAACCUUGGUAACACUCUAGAGGCCACAUCUAUUUUCCGAUCUUCAUGAAACUUGCUCAGAAGAUUUGUCCCAAUGAUAUCUUGGAUGAGUUAAACAAUGGUAACCUUUGCUUGAAAAGCAUGGCUGCCGAGGGGAGGGGCAUUUUUCCUUAUAUGGCUUUGUAUUGCUAAAGUAAAAUAUUGUUAACACUCUAGAGGCCACAUUUAUUGUCCAAUCGUCAUGAAACUUAGUCAGAAGAUUCAUCCCAAUAAUAUCUUGGACGACUUCAAAAAUGAUGCCGGUUGGUUGAAAGACAUGGCCACCAUUGGGACGGGGCAUAUUUCCUUAUAUAGCUAAAGUAAAACGUUGUUAACACUCUAGAUGUCACCUUUAUUUUCUGAUCAUCAUGCAACUUGGUCAGAAGAUUUUACCAAAUUAUAACUUGGAUGCGUUCAAAAAUGGUUUUGGUUGCUUUAAAAACAUGGCCACCAGGGGCUGGUCAUUUUUCCUUAUAUCGCGAUACAUGUAUAUGGCUAUAGUAAAACCUUGUUAACACUCUAGAGGCAACAUUUAUUGUUCAAUCUUCAUGAAAUUUGGUUGGAAGAUUGGUCUCAAUGAUGUCUUGGACGAGUUUAAAAAUAAUUAUGUUUGCUUGAAAAAACAUGGCUUCCAAGGGGCGGGCCAUCUUUCCUUGUAUCACUAUAGUAAAAUCUUGUUAACACUAUAGAGGCCACAUUUACUGUCCGAUCGUCAUGAAACUUGUAAUAUCUUGGACGAGUCUAACAAUGAUGCUGCUUGAAUGAAUAGUAAAACCUUGUUUAAACUUUAGAGGCCAACGUUAUUUUCCGAUCUUCAUGAAACUUGAUCCGAAGAUUUGUCCAAAUAAUAUCUUGUUAUCUCAGGUUAGCGACAUUGGGCCUUUGAGGCCCUCUUGAUCAACGAAUUGAUCAAUUCAUUAAAUUGUGAUCGUAUCUUAUUUUACGUUUUACUUUAAACUCAAAGAGGGAUGCAACUUGUAUGGUCGAUAUUUAAAGUUUAUUAUGUAAAAUACAUUUGUCAUUGUAACAUUAUUAUUAACGCUGGGUAUAAACUACGGUUACUCUGAUAUUAAAAACGAAUAUUUAGUUAGAUAAUAUUUUCAUUAGUAAAGUGUGAUCUUUGUUUCUUUGUGACAUGGUUUAAAAAGUGUCUUGGUGAGGGUUUUGAAAAUAUGAUAUUUAAAAUAUCAUAUCAUGCAAAAUUAACAUAUAUACGUUAUACCCUGCUUACUUGGACAAUUGUUAGGAACAUAGAAUCAUGAAUGGAUAUUUUUUUCUGAAAAUGCGUGUAUUACUAACAUAACGUGUACUAUUAAUUGAUGAUUUUGUGUGGCGCAGUGGUCGCGUAGAAGUUUUUGCUUGUCUAUGUCUCGGGUACAAAUUUAAGGAAUACAAUAUUUCAUUAAAAAAGAAUAUGUUGGUAGGUUGUUAUUAUAAUUAUAAAAGACCGUUCUUAACAGUGCAUUUGUGUGGUUAAAUAAAAGUAAUUGCAUUAUGCAAAAGAACGAAAAACUGUGAGCAUGUAACUUUGACAGUUGUGUUAUAUAACGCGUUGUGUGAUAUUACGGGUAUUGUCUUAUGGACAGUAAAUAUUGGGUGACAAGGUAUGAAUUGCAUAAAAGCUGAAUAUGUUAAAAGUCUAAGCAAUAUGCUCUGUAAUGAUUUUGCAAGUUACGCUUAAUGUACACACACUUUAACUAAUGUUGACAUAUUUAAUUGUCAUCAAAGCUGCAGUUGUUUACUGAAAACUAUUAUAUUUUGUAUGAUAUUAAAUGGUUGUAUUGUUUGAUUUGCAUUUCAUUUGUAUAUAUAUUAUUUCAUAUAAAGGUUGCAUACUGCAUUUUGUAUAAUUAAAUAUAUUAUGGCAUAUUAGUAUAAACGUUCACAUUGCUAGGUUGGUAUCUCUGAUGCACGAAGAAACGAAUAUCUGGUAAUCAUCAAUGCCAAUCAAUAUAUAAUGUUAUUAUUAGUCCCCUACCAGUGAAACCGGAGAGGGACUUAUGGUUUGCGCUCUGUGUGUCUGUCAGUCAGUCUGUCACACUUUUCUGGAUCUUGCUAUAACUUUAAAAGAUCUUCAUAUUUUUUCAUGAAAAUUGAAACAUGGACAGAUGGCAAUAUGGCGAUUAUGCACGUCAUUUCAUUGUGUUCCUACGUAAAGAAUUAUGGUUGCUAUGGCAAAUAUUGCUGAAAUAUUGCUGAAAUUGGUGGAGUUUUACCUAUAUGGAAAUUUUAUUGCUUGGCAAUAGUCGUGUUCUUUGUAACUUGUAUGUGCAUUUGAAGAUUCAAGUAUAAUCUCGGGUUAUUGUACCACAUAACAAAAUAAUUGUCCACUUACAAAUGCUAUAUUCGUGUACGGUCAACGUCAGCAUUUACAGUCGAAGGUUAUAGUAUUCGUUCUCACGCUGAAACAUUACCAUGCCUUUAAGGAUUCUAAACGAAUGUUCGAUUAUACUUCCUAAUGCCCAUACAACAUGCAAAUCCGAUGCUUCAAAGGAAAAGAUCAAGGUCACAACUCAAGGUUAAGUUUUGUGAAUUAUGUUUUCUGCAACUGUCUCUGUAACAAGCGUACACUUCAUUUCCUGUGUAAGACCUUGUUCUCUUAACGUUGUAAUUAAUAUGUAAUUGUUAUUUGACUAAUAUAUGUGUGGCAAAGACGAGUAUACAAUGUUUGAACGCAAUAUACGCGGAUUGCAAACGCCGUCUAUAUGGCACUUAAAAUAGUGUGUGUCCUUAAAGUAUGAAAGUAUUGUUGUACUGUUAUGGUGUAGUGAACUAGACAAAGGCAGCGAACUAUGGUUGCCUUGCAUGUGUUGUUAAAUGAUACAGAGGUUUACGGUUAUUUGAUGCACCCUAUACAGAAAUGACGUUGUUGAGCUUGUAUACUUAAGAAUAGUUGUGAUUUAUUAUACUGGCAAGUACUUCAUGCCGUAUUUAUACUCCUGUAUGAUUUACAUUAAAGGCACGUGUUUUUUUUGCAUCAAUCGUUUCGCUUCACGAUCCAACGUAUUGCAGAACAAAAUAACUUGUUUUUCUUCUUUUGUAUACAUUGUACACAGUUUGAUAAUGUUACUUCGUUAUGAAUAUAAAACAAUCCAUCUUUUUUUUUCUUUUUUUUUAUUUAAUAGUGUUUGGUAUGUGUGUUUCUAUAUAUACUUUCCAUCAUGCCACAUGCAAACGUGGUUUCUGUUAUCUGGCACUGUUUCUUAUAGUUGCUUCUAUAUAAACAUGCAAUCAUUAUACUAUGUUAGCAUGAUGUUUUUAUGUAACACAAGUUGGCUUUAUUGCUUAUUUAUAAAUACAUCAGUCCACUAUUUUAAAACGAUAAGCUUCCAUUUUUGGUAUGGAUGUUUUUAUAUGCCUAAAUAAUUCCACUUUUUUUUAACGCAAUGCUUUAGCAUUUAACACUGUUUGUAAGUACAACAUCUUUAUUUAAUUAAACUUAUUCCACUAGUUUAACAUACAUUUUCCUGGAACACCGUUUGCUAGUGUUGCUUAUAUUUAUCGGCUGUUUUUAAUAUGAAUGUAAUAGCUCAAGGGCGUUUUGUCAAUAACCAACAAUACUUAUUACUUGAUUUAAAUACAAGGUAAAUUACAGUCACAUAGCUACACGACAUGUAAGCUUAAUUGAUGUUUCUAUUUAAAGCAUUGACUAACAUGACAUUCAUAUGGAAAUAAUAACGUGUUAUAUUGUACAACUCUUGCAUUAGGUUUUGAACACUUACGCAUAGA
Molecule: long non-coding RNA, 6708 nt
Organism: Dreissena polymorpha
Lineage: Eukaryota; Metazoa; Mollusca; Bivalvia; Myida; Dreissenidae
Exons: 12
Source: RefSeq, a predicted model, not a curated record